UACGUAGGGGGCGAGCGUUGUCCGGAUUUAUUGGGCGUAAAGAGCGUGUAGGCGGCCAGGUAGGUCUGCUGUGAAAACUCGAGGCUCAACCUCGAGACGUCGGCGGAAACCAUCUGGCUAGAGUCCGGAAGAGGAGAGUGGAAUUCCUGGUGUAGCGGUGAAAUGCGUAGAUAUCUGGAGGAACACCGGUGGCGAAGGCGGCAUCCUGGACCGACACUGACACUGAGGAGCGAAAGCCAGGGGAGCAAACGGG
Molecule: ribosomal RNA, 253 nt
Filed under: uncultured bacterium
Lineage: Bacteria
Description: partial 16S ribosomal RNA
Rfam family: Bacterial small subunit ribosomal RNA
Source: RNAcentral